GAUGAAGAACGUAGCGAAAUGCGAUAAGUAAUGUGAAUUGCAGAAUUCAGUGAAUCAUCGAAUCUUUGAACGCACAUUGCGCCCGGUAGUAUUCUGCCGGGCAUGCCUGUUCGAGCGUCAUUUCAACCAUCAAGCCCCAGCGCUUGUGUUGGGGGCCUGCGGCUGCCGCAGCCCCCUAAAAGCAGUGGCGGGCUCGCUAUCACACCGAGUGCAGUAGUUCAUCUUCUCUCCGGUCUUGUGAGGCGGGUUCCGGCCGUGAAACACCCCACUACAUUCAAGGUUGACCUCGGAUCAGGUAGGAAUACCCGCUGAACUUAAGCAUAUCAAUAAGCGGGAGGA
RNAcentral lists this unclassified non-coding RNA (339 nucleotides) under soil metagenome. RNAcentral describes it as "partial contains 5.8S ribosomal RNA, internal transcribed spacer 2, and large subunit ribosomal RNA". The stretch from base 1 to 120 matches the Rfam family "5.8S ribosomal RNA", at positions 35 to 154 of the family's 154-position model. The record is from RNAcentral.